CGCGGUAAUUCCAGCUCCAAUAGCGUAUACUAAAGUGUUGCAGUUAAAAAGCUCGUAGUUGGAUUUCUGGCGGGGACGGCUGGUCGGUCUCGAAAGGGGCUGUACUGUUGUUGGUUCCCGUCAUCCUUGGGGAGAGCGGCUCUUACAUUAAGUUGUCGGCGUCGGGAUCCCUAUCUUUUACUGUGAAAAAAUUAGAGUGUUCAAAGCAGGCUUAGGCCCUGAAUACAUUAGCAUGGAAUAAUAAGAUACGACCUUGGUGGUCUAUUUUGUUGGUUUGCACGCCAAGGUAAUGAUUAAUAGGGAUAGUUGGGGGUAUUCGUAUUCAAUUGUCAGAGGUGAAAUUCUUGGAUUUAUGGAAGACGAACUACUGCGAAAGCAUUUACCAAGGAUGUUUUCAUUAAUCAAGAACGAAAGUUAGGGGAUCGAAGAUGAUUAGAUACCAUCGUAGUCUUAACCAUAAACUAUGCCGACUAGGGAUCGGUGGGUGCAUUUUUAGGCCUCAUCGGCACCUUAUGAGAAAUCAAAGUCUUUGGGUUCCGGGGGGAGUAUGGUCGCAAGGAUGAAACUUAAAGAAAUUGACGG
RNAcentral lists this ribosomal RNA (582 nucleotides) under uncultured Eustigmatophyceae. Its description in RNAcentral is "SSU rRNA". It matches the Rfam family "Eukaryotic small subunit ribosomal RNA", at positions 575 to 1159 of the family's 1831-position model. The record is from RNAcentral. Lineage: Eukaryota; Eustigmatophyceae.